CCUACGGGUGGCAGCAGUCGAGAAUUUUUGACAAUGGGGGAAACCCUGAUCGAGCGACGCCGCGUGGAGGAUGAAGGUCUUCGGGUUGUAAACUCCUGUCAUUUGGGAACUAGUACCAGAAGAGGAAGAGACGGCUAACUCUGUGCCAGCAGCCGCGGUAAUACAGAGGUCUCAAGCGUUGUUCGGAUUCAUUGGGCGUAAAGGGUGCGUAGGUGGCGUCGUAAGUCAGGUGUGAAAUCUCGGAGCUUAACUCCGAAACUGCAUUUGAUACUGCGGUGCUUGAGGACUGGAGAGGAGACUGGAAUUUACGGUGUAGCAGUGAAAUGCGUAGAGAUCGUAAGGAAGACCAGUGGCGAAGGCGGGUCUCUGGACAGUCCUGACACUGAGGCACGAAGGCCAGGGGAGCAAACGGGAUUAGAUACCCUUGUAGUC
This 432-nucleotide ribosomal RNA is filed under the name uncultured bacterium. RNAcentral describes it as "partial 16S ribosomal RNA". It matches the Rfam family "Bacterial small subunit ribosomal RNA", at positions 338 to 795 of the family's 1533-position model. The record is from RNAcentral.